ACGCUGGCGGCACGCCUAACACAUGCAAGUCGAACGAAGUAGCAAUACUUAGUGGCAGACGGGUGAGUAACAUGUAGGUAUCUGCCCUUUGGCCUGGAAUAACACGAGGAAACUUGUGCUAAUACCGGAUAAGUCUUUACGGAGAAAGCUUUAUGCACCAUUGGAUGAGCCUGCACUUGAUUAGUUUGUUGGUGGGGUAAUGGCCUACCAAGACUGUGAUCAAUAGCUGAUUUGAGAGGAUGAUCAGCCACAUUGGGACUGAGACACGGCCCAAACUCCUACGGGAGGCAGCAGUGGGGAAUCUUGCACAAUGGAGGAAACUCUGAUGCAGCGAUGCCGCGUGAGUGAAGAAGGCCCUUGGGUUGUAAAGCUCUUUCGUCGGGGAAGAAAAUGACUGUACCCGAAUAAGAAGGUCCGGCUAACUUCGUGCCAGCAGCCGCGGUAAUACGAAGGGACCUAGCGUAGUUCGGAAUUACUGGGCUUAAAGAGUUCGUAGGUGGUUGAAAAAGUUAGUGGUGAAAUCCCAGAGCUUAACUCUGGAACUGCCAUUAAAACUUUUCAGCUAGAGUAUGAUAGAGGAAAGCAGAAUUUCUAGUGUAGAGGUGAAAUUCGUAGAUAUUAGAAAGAAUACCAAUUGCGAAGGCAGCUUUCUGGAUCAUUACUGACACUGAGGAACGAAAGCAUGGGUAGCGAAGAGGAUUAGAUACCCUCGUAGUCCAUGCCGUAAACGAUGUGUGUUAGACGUUGGAAAUUUAUUUUCAGUGUCGCAGGGAAACCGAUAAACACACCGCCUGGGGAGUACGACCGCAAGGUUAAAACUCAAAUGAAUUGACGGGGACCCGCACAAGUAGUGGAGCAUGUGGUUUAAUUCGAAGAUACGCGCAGAACCUUACCAACACUUGACAUGUUCGUCGCGACUCUAAGAGAUUAGAGUUUUCGGUUCGGCCGGACGAAACACAGGUGCUGCAUGGCUGUCGUCAGCUCGUGUCGUGAGAUGUUGGGUUAAGUCCCGCAACGAGCGCAACCCUCACUUUUAGUUGCCAUCAUUAAGUUGGGCACUCUGAAAGAACUGCCAGUGAUAAGCUGGAGGAAGGUGGGGAUGACGUCAAGUCCUCAUGGCCCUUACGUGUUGGGCUACACACGUGCUACAAUGGUAUCUACAACAGGAAGCAAAACUGCGAAGUUAAGCAAAUCCCUAAAAGAUACCUCAGUUCGGAUUGCACUCUGCAACUCGAGUGCAUGAAGCUGGAAUUACUAGUAAUCGUGGAUCAGCGUGCCACGGUGAAUGCGUUCCCGGGUCUUGUACACACCGCCCGUCACACCAUGGGAGUUGGUUCUACCUUAAGGCAAGGUUUAAAACCCUUGACCACGGUAUAGUCAGCGACUGGGGUGAAGUCGUAACAAGGUAGCCGUAGGGGAACCUGCGGCUGGAUUACCUCCUUUCU
RNAcentral lists this ribosomal RNA (1445 nucleotides) under uncultured marine bacterium. Its description in RNAcentral is "16S ribosomal RNA". It matches the Rfam family "Bacterial small subunit ribosomal RNA". The record is from RNAcentral.